This is a long non-coding RNA of Triticum aestivum (bread wheat), 694 nucleotides long. RefSeq lists it as uncharacterized. NCBI's taxonomy places the organism in Eukaryota, Viridiplantae, Streptophyta, Magnoliopsida, Poales, Poaceae. The record is from RefSeq and is a predicted model, not a curated record. The transcript is spliced from 2 exons.
AGAGAUCAUUAGAGUGAUUGAUUACAAGGAGAAGAUUGAUUAUGAGGAAUCAUUGAAGAUUUCAUUUCACAGAAUACUAAUAGAAUGAGGUUUCUCAAAUAAAUAUCAUGCAACCGGAAGUUGAAUAGGGCCCCGGAUUUUGCCAGCUCGGCCCUAGGUGCCUCCAAACUAUUUGUCUUCUUCACCUACAAAUCAACCCAUGAUAACUGCCAAGAUGAGGCCCUCCUGCCAAAGUCGAGAUGGCCGCUCAAUCCGACGUUGAUACCCCCAGCAAAUGACUAACAACUUGCGGUUAAUGGGUUUAAUGAGAGGGGUCUGGACAAAAAGAACAUGUAAUUCGCUAGCCCACAGAACCUUCGAUGGUCAUCGUACUAAUUGACCGGUGGGCCAAUGAAGUCAGCUAUGUAAUCACAGUGCGCAUUCGUUUUCAGAUCCUAAUCCAAGCUAGUUGGCUCCAGUAUGCAUGAAGAGAUCGAAAGGCCAUGCGAAGGAUCAGUGAGGUAGCUAUGUUCAGGUUCACUCAUGCUUGUGAUGCCUGAUGCAUCACUCAAAGAAAUAUAUAGUUGUUCUCUGGUAGCUUCUCAGAGCAACCCAUCAUUUUGUAAUUUAUAGAGCUGCACUAUUUCCUGUGUUUCAUUAAGUCACACACACCUACCAAUAAUUUAUCAAAGAAGUCACGAGGAUUUGAUGCUUU